This 335-nucleotide ribosomal RNA is filed under the name uncultured eukaryote. Its description in RNAcentral is "partial 18S ribosomal RNA". It matches the Rfam family "Eukaryotic small subunit ribosomal RNA", at positions 1470 to 1796 of the family's 1831-position model. The record is from RNAcentral.
CCCUUAGAUGUUCUGGGCUGCACGCGCGCUACACUGAUGCGCUCAACGAGUUUUAACCUUGCCUGGAAAGGUUGGGUAAUCUUUUUAAAACGCAUCGUGAUGGGGAUAGAUUAUUGCAAUUAUUAAUCUUCAACGAGGAAUUCCUAGUAAGCGCGAGUCAUCAGCUCGUGCUGAUUACGUCCCUGCCCUUUGUACACACCGCCCGUCGCUACUACCGAUUGAAUGGUUUAAUGAGAUUUUCGGACUGGAGCCGGGCCGGGCCGGCAACGGUGCGGCUUUUGUGCUUCGGGAAGUCAAUCUAAUUGAAUCAUUUAGAGGAAGUAAAAGUCGUAACA